UACGGAGGGUGCGAGCGUUAAUCGGAAUGACUGGGCGUAAAGGGCAUGUAGGCGGAUGAUUAAGUUAGGUGUGAAAGCCUCGGGCUCAACCUGAGAAUAGCAUUUAAAACUGGUCAUCUGGAGUACUGUAGAGGGAGGUAGAAUUCCACGUGUAGCGGUGAAAUGCGUAGAGAUGUGGAGGAAUACCGGUGGCGAAGGCGGCCUUCUGGACAGAUACUGACGCUGAGAUGCGAAAGCGUGGGGAGCAAACAGG
Molecule: ribosomal RNA, 253 nt
Filed under: uncultured bacterium
Lineage: Bacteria
Description: partial 16S ribosomal RNA
Rfam family: Bacterial small subunit ribosomal RNA
Source: RNAcentral